CCUACGGGCGGCAGCAGUGAGGAAUAUUGGUCAAUGGACGAGAGUCUGAACCAACCAAGUAGCGUGAAGGAUGACUGCCCUAUGGGUUGUAAACUUCUUUUAUAUGGGAAUAAAAUGUUCCACGUGUGGCAUUUUGUAUGUACCAUAUGAAUAAGGAUCGGCUAACUCCGUGCCAGCAGCCGCGGUAAUACGGAGGAUCCGAGCGUUAUCCGGAUUUUUUGGGUUUAAAGGGAGCGUAGGGGGGUUGUUAAAUCAGUUGUGAAAGUUUGCGGCUCAACCGUAAAAUUGCAGUUGAAACGGGCAGUCGUGAGUACAGUAGAGGUGGGCGGAAUGCGUGGUGUAGCGGUGAAAUGCUUAGAUAUCACGAAGAACUCCGAUUGCGAAGGCAGUUCACUGGACUGCAACUGACACUGAGGCUCGAAAGUGUGGGUAUCAAACAGGAUUAGAUACCCCUGUAGUC
RNAcentral lists this ribosomal RNA (460 nucleotides) under uncultured bacterium. Its description in RNAcentral is "partial 16S ribosomal RNA". It matches the Rfam family "Bacterial small subunit ribosomal RNA", at positions 338 to 795 of the family's 1533-position model. The record is from RNAcentral.